RNAcentral lists this ribosomal RNA (325 nucleotides) under uncultured eukaryote. Its description in RNAcentral is "partial 18S ribosomal RNA". It matches the Rfam family "Eukaryotic small subunit ribosomal RNA", at positions 1470 to 1796 of the family's 1831-position model. The record is from RNAcentral.
CCCUUAGAUGUUCUGGGCUGCACGCGCGCUACACUGAAGCGUUCAACGAGUAUUCACCUUGCCCGGGAGGGUUGGGUAAUCUUUUGAAAACGCUUCGUGAUGGGGAUAGAUUAUUGCAAUUAUUAAUCUUCAACGAGGAAUUCCUAGUAAGCGCGAGUCAUCAGCUCGUGCUGAUUACGUCCCUGCCCUUUGUACACACCGCCCGUCACUCCUACCGAUUGAGUGAUCCGGUGAAUAAUUCGGACUGCAGCACUGCUUGGUCUCCAGGCUUUGCAGCGGAAAGUUUAGUGAACCUUAUCACUUAGAGGAAGGAGAAGUCGUAACA